This 321-nucleotide ribosomal RNA is filed under the name Triticum aestivum (bread wheat). RNAcentral describes it as "partial small subunit ribosomal RNA". The record is from RNAcentral. Lineage: Eukaryota; Viridiplantae; Streptophyta; Magnoliopsida; Poales; Poaceae.
AUGCCCGAGGUGAUGGAGCGACGGCGACGGCAGCUGUGCGUGCGUGCGGUGCCGACGAGAGGCGAUGCGGGGGGUGCUGCGAGCGUGGGCAGCGAGCUCUGUGGCAACGUGUUGUUUUUUGCUGGAACGGGACUUUUUUGUUGCUGGAACCUCCUGUUCUUUUUGCUACAAUCAAUUUUUGUUGGAUCUGAUGUUUGUGGGAUUUAUGCUGGAACCGGCCUAAAUUGUUGCUGGAACCGGCUGUUUCUUUUGCUACAGUCAAAUUUGUUCGAGUUUAUGAUUUGUGGGAAUUUUGCUGGAACCAAAGUAAUUUGUUGCUGA